UACGUAGGGGGCAAGCGUUGUCCGGAAUCAUUGGGCGUAAAGCGCGUGUAGGCGGCCAGAAAAGUCCGCUGUGAAAACUCGAGGCUCAACCUCGAGCUGUCGGUGGAAACUUUCUGGCUAGAGUCCGGAAGAGGAGAAUGGAAUUCCUGGUGUAGCGGUGAAAUGCGCAGAUAUCAGGAAGAACACCCGUGGCGAAGGCGGUUCUCUGGAACGCAACUGACGCUCAUGCACGAAAGCGUGGGGAGCAAACAGG
RNAcentral lists this ribosomal RNA (253 nucleotides) under uncultured bacterium. RNAcentral describes it as "partial 16S ribosomal RNA". It matches the Rfam family "Bacterial small subunit ribosomal RNA", at positions 524 to 776 of the family's 1533-position model. The record is from RNAcentral.